This 288-nucleotide ribosomal RNA is filed under the name Triticum aestivum (bread wheat). RNAcentral describes it as "partial small subunit ribosomal RNA". Lineage: Eukaryota; Viridiplantae; Streptophyta; Magnoliopsida; Poales; Poaceae. The record is from RNAcentral.
AUGCCCCUAGACUUCACCAAGCACUUCGUCGCGGUGCCGGCGGAGUUCAAGCUGAGGAACAACACUGGCUGCUCCUGCAGGGUGACGGUGAAGCUAAUGAACGGCAGGGUGACCCUGGAUCAGGGUUGGGCCACCUACGCCGCCGUUCAUCAGAUCAAGACCGGCUACAUGGUGACGUUCAAGCUCCUGACUCCCGACACCCUUAAGGUCGUCAUCUUCGACGACGAUGGCAUUGAGGUGGUCAACAAGUGCGGGAAGCACGACGAAGCCUUCGCCGCCAGGGACUAG